Unclassified non-coding RNA from Actinia tenebrosa (Australian red waratah sea anemone), 3022 nucleotides. Lineage: Eukaryota; Metazoa; Cnidaria; Anthozoa; Actiniaria; Actiniidae. The record is from RefSeq and is a predicted model, not a curated record.
UAUACAACAGUGGAUGGAAACAUACAGUUAGAGUUCAAAUCAGUUAUUCGUUAGGAACGCGCUAGGAACGAGGCCUGUCAUACAGUGAAGACUUCAUCAAGCGUUGGAUUCUUUUAAAAUCCAGGGAUACCAAGAAACUUUGGGAUUGAAGACUGACAGGUAAACCGUUUCAACUCGAGUCCAAAACUUCGUGAAAACCCUGCGUGGGAGAGUCAUUAUAUAUCGGGGUGACGAACUUAACGGCUCGCUGGAUUAGCGAAGGAUUUUUCAACCUGGUGAAUGGGAUCAGCGAGUGAACGAAACAAGAGACUCCUCAAGCUUAAAAGGUCUUAAUAAAGUCCGCCGAACGAGAGCCAAUCAGUAGCCGACUUGUACCUUUGAAGUCAUUCGGCACUAUCCACCGCCUUUUGAAGCAGAUUGGUUUUGGAUCUAUCUUGACAGUUCUCAAAAGCGUUUACUCCCCUCCAAAGAGUUUGUCAAGAGGGUAAUUUGGAAAUUAUCUUAAAAUAAAUCGAUUGGUUGAUUGCGUUUCCAUAUUCGACUCCUAAAUCGUCUCGCAAUCACUUGUAGCGGCCGGGUAGACGUCUUGGCUAUAAAGAGAAGGACAGCAAUUUGAAAUCAGAAAAAGGGGUCGUAAACAGGRCAUAUUUGUAGUUAAGAGGAGAAAAAACAUACUAAAACAAACGUUUGUUUUAAAAGCGAUGAAACUGUUAGGGGAAGAAAAAGGAGAGAAAACAUUGAUAAAAUGCUAAGAAAAGCGUACAACAGGUGCAAUAUGCAUUAGACAUUCGUCGAGCUCUUAAGGAGUCAUCUUUAUUCACCGACCCAGAACUAAAAAAACGCAAAAAAUCUAGUCGAACAUGGCUCUGAAUAACUCCUCUCUCAACAAUGGGACUUUCUAUUCUCCAGCUGGCUACAACUACAUCGAAAAGGUAUCCAUAGUAUUUAUGAUGUGCCUGUUUACAGUGCUGGCCAUCCCUGGGAAUGCUAUUGUGAUUUUCAUCGUCUCUCGCGUGCAGAGCAUGAAAACAUCAACCAAUUUCCUGCUUCUGAACUUAUGCAUCGCGGAUCUGUUGAUCGCAGUUAUUUAUUUGCCAUUCAUCACGGUCGCUCUUUACAUUACUAAUGGAUGGAUUUUUGGGACAUUUAUGUGUAAACUGGUAUCGUUUUCUCAGUCAGUUGCUACCAAGGCGUCAAUUCUUAUCCUUACCGCGCUCUCUCUAGAGAGAUAUCUGUCAAUAUGCCGACCAAACCGUAUAGUGAUCACAGCAGUGCGAGUCCGAAUCCUCUGCGCAAGCCUUUGGAUCGUUGCUAUGGGAACAGCAUUGCCUCUCUUUAUUUACAAGACAACGAGACCGUAUUUUGGGAAUGAGUAUUGCACGGAGUCUUGGUCAUUUGAAGCCGCGGCAGCUUACACCUAUGUGGUCUUUGCGCUGUUCUACGUAAUGCCACUGCUGGUUAUGGUAGCAUUGUACCUUAAGAUUGGACAGAAACUCCUGCAAAGUACUCGAAAAACCAGUAGCAUGAGACACCCAAAUAGCACAGGCAAAGCAACGCUGUCCUCAAAAACUAGACUCACUAGGAUAUGCGUGCUUAUAAUACUCAGUUUUGCGCUGUCUUGGGCUCCUGCGCAUAUUAUUACUCUCCAUUAUUAUUCAAGUGUGGAUAGUCCACUGGGCAAUGAAGAUAUUAUUUAUCCAAUUGUAAGCUGUAUAUCGUACUCGAAUUGUGCUCUCAACCCUCUACUGUACUGCUUCAUGAGUCAAAACUUUAGAAAUGCCAUUGUUACUGAGUGGAAGCGUCUCACUACAAGGCGCAGGCAAAACAUCUAUGGUGGACUGCCCGGCAUGUCGCUCAGGGGACGUGACUCUAUCUUGCGUACUUUGUCGAUGCGCAUUCAAGGAUCGCUUCAGUCAUCGAAAGAACAAGAAGAAACUGAAACUGAAAUCAAAAGCAAACACGAAAGUAUAGAUCUAGAGACUUCUUUGACCGUGUUCGAGUCGGCGUUGUAGUAACAAAGUAUUACUGAAUGUGUACAAAAGUGAUAAAACUCUACUCUUCCUUCGUGUACCAAGAAAUUCCAAACUUUCGUUUUUGAAUAUACAACUCGGAGCAAUCAGUCGUUAUUGUGGGUCAAACAUUAUUAUUAUUGUUAAGCUCCAAUAAAGAUCAUCUCCAGCAAGAAAACAUGUUCAAAGAAAAAACUAUACUUAAAUCAUGAUUCAUCAAAAAUGCUGUGUCCGGUCAAAGCAUGCAACCUUGGAAAAAAAGCUUAAUAUCUUAGGUUUCAAAAAUGUGUCGUAAAAGUCAUGAAAAAGAAUCAGUCCCAGCCUACGUUGUUGAUGUUGUUGAUGACCUAUAUCCCACGAGGGGUGUAGAGGCUUAGGAGGAGCCGCCUACGUUGCCUUUAGGCGUAUUACAGAUGAGUUUUGCCGCGCAUUGAUUGCCAAAGACAGGAAAUAUAUCUUGUGUGGUUACAGCUAUGACAAGUGCAAUAUAAUUUUCGUAUCGAAAAGGUGAGAAGGACGAAGACUGGAAAAGCAAGAAGAGAAUAUUAAAUCAUGACAAAUCAUGAAGACACGAACAAAACUCAUCUGAAACGGAGUUUAAUCGCUCAUGUAUAAGUAACCCGAAGAUAAAUAUAAUAUAGCUACGAUAGAGAAUAUUUUUUAUGAUUUGACUUGGGUCGUCGCCAUGACGCGAAAUCACAUCAGCCUACUAUUUUAUGUCAAACAGUGUGAGACAUGAGACUCUGUAUUGACGUUAUUUAUAUAAAUAGUAAGCAUCGUAUCGAAUCCGUUAGUAGGGUAGGCCAGUUCUAGGGGGUGUACUCCUCCUUCAAUCUCACCCUACCCACUCUUACAUGGUCUUUUUUUUUGUUCGUGGAGAUAAAUUGGUCCUUUGCCAUUAAACUCUCUGUAGCACGAUUCACUAAAGGUGCUGACACACGGUGCAACAUUGCAUGCACAUUGCACGCAAUAGGACUGUUGCAGCGUGUGUCUACCCCAAACUUGUUGCACGC